CCUACGGGAGGCAGCAGUAGGGAAUUUUCCGCAAUGGGCGAAAGCCUGACCGAGCAACGCCGCGUGAACGAAGAAGGUCUUCGGAUUGUAAAGUUCUGUUAUAGAGGAGGAACAGUGUACGUAGGAAAUGGCGUACAAAUGACGGUACUCUGUGAGGAAGCCACGGCUAACUACGUGCCAGCAGCCGCGGUAAUACGUAGGUGGCGAGCGUUGUCCGGAAUCAUUGGGCGUAAGGAGGGAUCAGGCGGCCUGGAGGGUCUAUUGUUAAAAGGCAAGGUCUUACCAAUAGUAAGCAGAAGAAACCGUCAGGCUAGAGUUCUAAAGAGGAUAGUGGAAUUCCAUGUGUAGCGGUGAAAUGCGUAGAUAUAUGGAGGAACACCAGUGGCGAAGGCGACGAUCUGGGAAGAAACAGACGCUGAGUCCCGAAAGCGUGGGGAGCAAACAGGAUUAGAUACCCGGGUAGUC
Molecule: ribosomal RNA, 465 nt
Filed under: uncultured bacterium
Lineage: Bacteria
Description: partial 16S ribosomal RNA
Rfam family: Bacterial small subunit ribosomal RNA
Source: RNAcentral